AGUGAACGCUGGCGGUAGGCCUAACACAUGCCAGUCGAACGGCAGCACAGUAAGAGCUUGCUCUUACGGGUGGCGAGUGGCGGACGGGUGAGGAAUACAUCGGAAUCUACUUUUUCGUGGGGGAUAACGUAGGGAAACUUACGCUAAUACCGCAUACGACCUACGGGUGAAAGCAGGGGAUCUUCGGACCUUGCGCGAUUGAAUGAGCCGAUGUCGGAUUAGCUAGUUGGCGGGGUAAAGGCCCACCAAGGCGACGAUCCGUAGCUGGUCUGAGAGGAUAAUCAGCCACACUGGAACUGAGACACGGUCCAGACUCCUACGGGAGGCAGCAGUGGGGAAUAUUGGACAAUGGGCGCAAGCCUGAUCCAGCCAUACCGCGUGGGUGAAGAAGGCCUUCGGGUUGUAAAGCCCUUUUGUUGGGAAAGAAAAGCAGCAGGUUAAUACCCCGCUGUUCUGACGGUACCCAAAGAAUAAGCACCGGCUAACUUCGUG
RNAcentral lists this ribosomal RNA (492 nucleotides) under uncultured bacterium. RNAcentral's name for it is "partial 16S ribosomal RNA". It matches the Rfam family "Bacterial small subunit ribosomal RNA", at positions 29 to 507 of the family's 1533-position model. The record is from RNAcentral.